GAUGAACGCUGGCGGCGUGUCUAAUACAUGCAAGUCGAGCGAACGGACGAGAAGCUUGCUUCUCUGAUGUUAGCGGCGGACGGGUGAGUAACACGUGGAUAACCUACCUAUAAGACUGGGAUAACUUCGGGAAACCGGAGCUAAUACCGGAUGAUAUUUUGAACCGCAUGGUUCAAAAGUGAAAGACGGUCUUGCUGUCACUUAUAGAUGGAUCCGCGCUGCAUUAGCUAGUUGGUAAGGUAACGGCUUACCAAGGCAACGAUGCAUAGCCGACCUGAGAGGGUGAUCGGCCACACUGGAACUGAGACACGGUCCAGACUCCUACGGGAGGCAGCAGUAGGGAAUCUUCCGCAAUGGGCGAAAGCCUGACGGAGCAACGCCGCGUGAGUGAUGAAGGUCUUCGGAUCGUAAAACUCUGUUAUUAGGGAAGAACAUAUGUGUAAGUAACUGUGCACAUCUUGACGGCACCUAAUCAGAAAGCCACGGCUAACUACGUG
This 497-nucleotide ribosomal RNA is filed under the name uncultured bacterium. Its description in RNAcentral is "partial 16S ribosomal RNA". It matches the Rfam family "Bacterial small subunit ribosomal RNA", at positions 28 to 507 of the family's 1533-position model. The record is from RNAcentral.